Molecule: ribosomal RNA, 301 nt
Filed under: uncultured bacterium
Lineage: Bacteria
Description: partial 16S ribosomal RNA
Rfam family: Bacterial small subunit ribosomal RNA
Source: RNAcentral
CAGCAGCCGCGGUAAUACGGAGGGUGCAAGCGUUAUCCGGAUUUAUUGGGUUUAAAGGGUCCGUAGGCGGAUCUGUAAGUCAGUGGUGAAAUCUCACAGCUUAACUGUGAAACUGCCAUUGAUACUGCAGGUCUUGAGUAAAUUUGAAGUGGCUGGAAUAAGUAGUGUAGCGGUGAAAUGCAUAGAUAUUACUUAGAACACCAAUUGCGAAGGCAGGUCACUAAGAUUUAACUGACGCUGAUGGACGAAAGCGUGGGGAGCGAACAGGAUUAGAGACCCGAGUAGUCCCUGUCUCUUAUAA